RNAcentral lists this ribosomal RNA (497 nucleotides) under uncultured bacterium. RNAcentral's name for it is "partial 16S ribosomal RNA". It matches the Rfam family "Bacterial small subunit ribosomal RNA", at positions 28 to 507 of the family's 1533-position model. The record is from RNAcentral.
GACGAACGCUGGCGGCGUGCCUAAUACAUACAAGUUGAGCGCUGAAGGUUGGUACUUGUACCAACUGGAUGAGCAGCGAACGGGUGAGUAACGCGUGGGGAAUCUGCCUUUGAGCGGGGGACAACAUUUGGAAACGAAUGCUAAUACCGCAUAAAAACUUUAAACACAAGUUUUAAGUUUGAAAGAUGCAAUUGCAUCACUCAAAGAUGAUCCCGCGUUGUAUUAGCUAGUUGGUGAGGUAAAGGCUCACCAAGGCGAUGAUACAUAGCCGACCUGAGAGGGUGAUCGGCCACAUUGGGACUGAGACACGGCCCAAACUCCUACGGGAGGCAGCAGUAGGGAAUCUUCGGCAAUGGACGAAAGUCUGACCGAGCAACGCCGCGUGAGUGAAGAAGGUUUUCGGAUCGUAAAACUCUGUUGGUAAAGAAGAACGUUGGUGAGAGUGGAAAGCUCAUCAAGUGACGGUAACUACCGAGAAAGGGACGGCUAACUACGUG